Molecule: ribosomal RNA, 433 nt
Filed under: uncultured bacterium
Lineage: Bacteria
Description: partial 16S ribosomal RNA
Rfam family: Bacterial small subunit ribosomal RNA
Source: RNAcentral
AACGAACGCUGGCGGCAGGCCUAACACAUGCAAGUCGAGCGAGGACUUCGGUUCUAGCGGCGGACGGGUGAGUAACGCGUGGGAAUGUGCCCUUCUCUACGGAAUAGCCCUGGGAAACUGGGAGUAAUACCGUAUACGCCCUUUUGGGGAAAGAUUUAUCGGAGAAGGAUCAGCCCGCGUUGGAUUAGGUAGUUGGUGGGGUAAUGGCCUACCAAGCCGACGAUCCAUAGCUGGUUUGAGAGGAUGAUCAGCCACACUGGGACUGAGACACGGCCCAGACUCCUACGGGAGGCAGCAGUGGGGAAUCUUAGACAAUGGGGGCAACCCUGAUCUAGCCAUGCCGCGUGAGUGAUGAAGGCCUUAGGGUUGUAAAGCUCUUUCUGCUGGGAAGAUAAUGACGGUACCAGCAGAAGAAGCCCCGGCUAACUCCGUG